RNAcentral lists this ribosomal RNA (484 nucleotides) under uncultured bacterium. Its description in RNAcentral is "partial 16S ribosomal RNA". It matches the Rfam family "Bacterial small subunit ribosomal RNA", at positions 28 to 523 of the family's 1533-position model. The record is from RNAcentral.
GACGAACGCUGGCGGCGUGCUUAACACAUGCAAGUCGAACGAUGAAGCUGGAUCUCGCUCUGGCGGAUUAGUGGCGAACGGGUGAGUAACACGUGAGAAAUCUGCCCUUGACUCUGGGAUAACUGCGGGAAACUGUAGCUAAUACCGGAUACUUUCCCUGGUGGGCAUCCACUGGGGAAGAAAGAAUUUCGGUCAAGGAUGAUCUCGCGGCCUAUCAGCUUGUUGGUGAGGUAAUGGCUCACCAAGGCGACGACGGGUAGCCGGCCUGAGAGGGUGACCGGCCACACUGGGACUGAGACACGGACCAGACUCCUACGGGAGGCAGCAGUGGGGAAUAUUGCACAAUGGGCGCAAGCCUGAUGCAGCAACGCCGCGUGAGGGAUGAAGGCCUUCGGGUUGUAAACCUCUUUUAGCAGGGAAGAAGCGAAAGUGACGGUACCUGCAGAAAAAGCACCGGCUAACUACGUGCCAGCAGCCGCGGUAA